GUGAAUAUAGUUUAACACAAAACCUUAGGUUGUGGUCCUAAAAAUGAAGGCUUACAUCCUUCUAUUUACC
RNAcentral lists this transfer RNA (70 nucleotides) under Kalophrynus palmatissimus. Its description in RNAcentral is "tRNA-His". It matches the Rfam family "tRNA". From Rfam's summary of the family: Transfer RNA (tRNA) molecules are approximately 80 nucleotides in length. Their secondary structure includes four short double-helical elements and three loops (D, anti-codon, and T loops). Lineage: Eukaryota; Metazoa; Chordata; Amphibia; Anura; Microhylidae. The record is from RNAcentral.